AUGCAGCUCCCCCGAGCCUCCUCCCGGUGCUCUCCCCCGUGCAGCUCCCCUGUUCUUUCCUCCGGACCUAAAAAUCACUUAUUUCCAUAUCGAUCUGUAGGGCAUGGGGACGAGGGCGGCGACGAGCGCGCCUGUUGCCACGGUGAGCUCAAUACUCUUCGGCAGAUCCCUUCCCCAAACUCUGCUCCUGACGACAGCUCAUUGCUGGGGCUUCCCCCCAUGGAUGAGGAGGAGGACGACGAGUGCUGCCUGGCGGAGUUCUUCCGGCUGCUUCCUGGAGCGGUCCAGGGAGAUGGGAAGCUCUCCUAA
This 309-nucleotide ribosomal RNA is filed under the name Triticum aestivum (bread wheat). RNAcentral describes it as "partial small subunit ribosomal RNA". Lineage: Eukaryota; Viridiplantae; Streptophyta; Magnoliopsida; Poales; Poaceae. The record is from RNAcentral.